CAAUACAUGGCGAACUGCUCAGUAACACGUGGACAACCUGCCCUUAGGUUGGGUAUAAACCCGGGAAACUGGGUAUAAUACCCGAUAGGUCUCGAUUGCUGGAAUGCAUCGAGAUUUAAAGCUCCGGCGCCUAAGGAUGGGUCUGCGGCCUAUCAGGUAGUAGUGGGUGUAGCGUACCUACCAGCCUACGACGGGUACGGGUUGUGAGAGCAAGAGCCCGGAGAUGGAUUCUGAGACACGAAUCCAGGCCCUACGGGGUGCAGCAGGCGCGAAAACUUUACAAUGCUGGCAACAGCGAUAAGGGAACUUCGAGUGCCAGGUUACAAAUCUGGCUGUCGAGAUGCCUAAAAAGCAUUUCAUAGCAAGGGCCGGGCAAGACCGGUGCCAGCCGCCGCGGUAACACCGGCGGCUCGAGUGGUAACCGUUAUUAUUGGGUCUAAAGGGUCUGUAGCCGGCCGGAUAAGUCUCUUGAGAAAUCUGGCAGCUUAACUGUCAGGCUUUCAGGAGAUACUGUCUGGCUCGAGGCCGGGAGAGGUGAGAGGUACUUCAGGGGUAGGGGUGAAAUCUUGUAAUCCUUGAAGGACCACCAGUGGCGAAGGCGUCUCACCAGAACGGACCUGACGGCAAGGGACGAAAGCUAGGGGCACGAACCGGAUUAGAUACCCGGGUAGUCCUAGCCGUAAACGAUACUCGCUAGGUGUCGGCCACGGUGCGACCGUUGUCGGUGCCGUAGGGAAGCCGUGAAGCGAGCCACCUGGGAAGUACGGCCGCAAGGCUGAAACUUAAAGGAAUUGGCGGGGGAGCACCACAACGGGUGGAGCUUGCGGUUUAGUUGGAUUCAACGCCGGAAAUCUUACCGGGACCGACAGCAAUAUGAAGGCCAGGCUGAAGGCUUUGCCGGAUUAGCUGAGAGGUGGUGCAUGGCCGUCGUCAGUUCGUACUGUGAAGCAUCCUGUUAAGUCAGGCAACGAGCGAGACCCA
RNAcentral lists this ribosomal RNA (981 nucleotides) under uncultured archaeon. RNAcentral's name for it is "bacterial SSU rRNA". It matches the Rfam family "Archaeal small subunit ribosomal RNA", at positions 72 to 1054 of the family's 1478-position model. The record is from RNAcentral.